RNAcentral lists this ribosomal RNA (454 nucleotides) under uncultured organism. Its description in RNAcentral is "bacterial SSU rRNA". It matches the Rfam family "Bacterial small subunit ribosomal RNA", at positions 346 to 794 of the family's 1533-position model. The record is from RNAcentral.
GUGCAGCAGGCGAGAAUUUUUCUCAAUGGGGGAAACCCUGAAGGAGCGACGCCGCGUGGAGGAUGAAGGUCUUCGGGUUGUAAACUCCUGUCAUUUGGGAACAAGGUGCACGUAUUUACUGUACGAGUAUUGAUAGUACCAGAAGAGGAAGAGACGGCUAACUCUGUGCCAGCAGCCGCGGUAAUACAGAGGUCUCAAGCGUUGUUCGGAUUCAUUGGGCGUAAAGGGUGUGUAGGUGGCGCCGUAAGUCGGGUGUGAAAUCUCGGGGCUUAACUCCGAAACUGCAUUCGAUACUGCGGUGCUUGAGGACUGGAGAGGAGACUGGAAUUCAUGGUGUAGCAGUGAAAUGCGUAGAGAUCAUGAGGAAGACCAGUGGCGAAGGCGGGUCUCUGGACAGUUCCUGACACUGAGCACGAAGGCCAGGGGAGCAAACGGGAUUAGAUACCCCGGUAGU